UCCUGCCACCCCUCUCCUUUCUCCGUGUCCCUGCCGCACCCGCAGGCCCUUCUCCUGCUGCGGGUGCAAGGACGCUGAUGUCCACCGCAGCGCAGCUCCUGCCACCCCUCUCCUUUCUCCACGUCCCCGCCGCAGGCUCAAGGAGAAAAGGAGCUUCAGCACCUCUUCUCUGCUGUGUGAACUUCCCUGGACACUUUCUCCUCUCUAAGGGUGCAGUCACUCCGACAAUUGACUUAACAUCUGCUGCAACCAGGAUUGGGAACUUUGUGGGAGAAGAAAUAAGCAAGGCUGCUCUGGCUGACGUCUGUCCGGCUAGCAAAACAGAGGGAGCUGCCAAAGAAAACAGUCCGAGGCAUGAAAGUUAACAGCUAGCAAUAACUGUGGUGCGAAACAUUCCCAUGAAAUCCAGACAUCAAGGAUGCUGCUUGGAAUAGCUUGAAUGUCCUGCAUUCUUUUCCAGUGAAAGCAGAGUAAUACACCAGCAGCGUGGGAGACGGCAGGCAAGGAAGAACACAUGAGCCCCAGAGAAGGCUCCAUCAAUUUUCUCUCUGUGGCUGGCUGAAGGAAGCUUAAGUGUACGUUGCAGUGGCUCCCGACACCAGCCGCUGCCACGCGCCACGCGCAUCUAACUUAAAACACGGUACCUGAAAAACUAAACCAAAAA
Long non-coding RNA from Pogoniulus pusillus (Red-fronted tinkerbird), 664 nucleotides. RefSeq lists it as uncharacterized. The record is from RefSeq and is a predicted model, not a curated record. NCBI's taxonomy places the organism in Eukaryota, Metazoa, Chordata, Aves, Piciformes, Lybiidae. The transcript has 3 exons.